Ficedula albicollis (Collared flycatcher) is the source of this 1250-nucleotide long non-coding RNA. NCBI's taxonomy places the organism in Eukaryota, Metazoa, Chordata, Aves, Passeriformes, Muscicapidae. The record is from Ensembl.
UCUAAUGCCUGUUUUGCUAUUCUCUCUGAAAGCCCCAACAAAAAGAAAUACAUGGUUUGUGCUUAGAGGUGAGUGAACUUCUCAGCUAAAGGGGACCAUCUUCUAGAGACUUGCAUUGAAUGCCCUGACAGUAAUCCAACUGUUUUUUCUACUUGGGGAACUAUAUUUUGUGGUUUUGCUUUCAUCUCUAAGCUUUUCUGCUGAAAAAGCUUACCUGGUGAAACCUGUUUUUUUCCUGGCUACAUUUAAAUUACUUCCUGUGAAAGAGCAUCUGUGAUCUCCCAUGGGGUAGGCAGGCUUUUUUCCUCUCCCUGGAGAAACUGUUGUCCUUAAUGUGAAUCACUGAAGAUGCAUGUCUUGCUGCUAAAAUGAAUUUUAAAGUCUUUGAUUUAAGUGAUUGCAGUUUUCAGAGCAGGAAUCUGCUGAAGAUGCUCUGAAUGUUGUAGCUGCAGAGGCUUAUGUGCUUCCAGGUAACAGUGCAGGGAUGCAACUCAUUUGGAGUCUGAGAUUAUUAAUUGAAACCUGAUUUGUUUGCAUCUGCUUGCUUUGUAACAACUUCUGAUAUAGUCUUACCAGAAUUCAGAACUCCUUAGGCCUAGAUGCAUAUCCCAAAAUAUGAGCAGUUCUUCUGUCCUGUGUAGAAGUUUUCCAGAAAAAUGGGUUCAACAUAUAUAAAUCCCAACGACUGGGUCUUUAACACCUUCAGCACAAGACCUAAGAAUUCCCUCAGAGUUAAGUUUCCAGCUUGACUUGAUCUUUCCUGAUCGACCCACAAGCCUUGUCUACAUUUGGUUUUCUUCCUGUGUGUGACCAUACCCAAGAAGCUUCUCCCUGUGCUGAACACAGCCUGUCUAAAGGUCCAGGUGUUUCUGGUAAGUGCUUUUGUAUCAUUUGUGGUUGUUUUUCCAAGUUAACAUAAUCUUGGAUUGCCUGCAGGUUGUGGGGCUUCCAGCCAUGAAGAUACUGCAGACUCUGUCCUGUUCUUGGACCUGCUUUGGGCAGAGAUUGGAGCAGGCUGGCUCAGUAUUACUGGUAAGGAUUAUUUUUCAUUUUUCUCAAUUCAGAAGAAUAAGUUUCUUCAAGCCUUUUCUGCAGCUGUGCCAUCCUCAGCUUUCCAUCCAUCCAAGAGAUGUGGACCAAGCCCCAGGCUCAGUGGAGGAGCAGAGUGGUGACCAGGACCUUUUGGAAGCAGGACCUUGCAGGACCCUGCAGGUGUGUAUUUCUGCCUGCUGCACUUCCCACUGCCUUUC